UACGUAGGGACCAAGCGUUGUUCGGAUUUACUGGGCGUAAAGGGCGCGUAGGCGGCAAUUCAAGUCAGCUGUGAAAUCUCCGGGCUUAACUCGGAACGGUCAGCUGAUACUGCUUUGCUAGAGUGCAGAAGGGGCAAUCGGAAUUCUUGGUGUAGCGGUGAAAUGCGUAGAUAUCAGGAGGAACACCGAUGGCGAAGGCAGUUCUCUGGGCCGUAACUGACGCUGAGGAGCGAAAGCGUGGGGAGCGAACAGG
This 253-nucleotide ribosomal RNA is filed under the name uncultured bacterium. RNAcentral's name for it is "partial 16S ribosomal RNA". It matches the Rfam family "Bacterial small subunit ribosomal RNA", at positions 524 to 776 of the family's 1533-position model. The record is from RNAcentral.